ACAUGUCAUAUUUACUAAGUACAGUUCAAGAGUAUUUUAUUGCUCAAAUUAUUACAAAACAACAUCAAAAGUAUCAACUGUCUUUGUCUCUAAUAGCUCAUGAACUGUACAUCUUUCAUACAUUUGAACUAAACGCAAUAAAAGUAAUAUUAAAUGUUGCCAGGGCCAAGCUCCCGAUUGUACUUUUAAUAUCUUACAAUCUGUGACACAAGACUAUGUAUUUGUUUGAAUAUUUUCCUAAUAUCCCUGCAGAUAAAAUUCUAAAUACACAUUGCGGAAUGUAAAUGGGGCAAUACAAAAAUGAUCUCCGUAUUAUUAUUUAUAAUUUUUGUCAGCAUUUUCGUUAUAAUGUCUUUAUGUGUUGCAGUUACAGCGUAUUUGUUUUCGAAGGUCGUUAGUCGUCGAUUUUAGCUGAAGCCGCAUCAGUCUUCUGCAAAGCGAUGAUGGUUUGACGCAAGGCCUACAACACUUGGUUAAUAGGAUAUCGGUGACCCAGCUCAUGUCAGUUGUGAGGGCUUCCAACGUCCGAGAAUCAGGUGAAAUCGCUUAAACCUCAACUAAAUGAAGGUAAAAACCAUCGCAAAAUUUGUAGUUUUCCAAUUUAUAAGAAUUUAUUACUGUGCGCCGUACAAAGGGUUUAUUUAGACGAGUGGAUCAUAUGGUCCCGAAAGGGGGAUCAUAUUAGUAAGCGGUUAUUUUUAAAUGAGGUUCAGCGGUACGUUAUAGUUAAUUUUUUAAGGCCUUUAGUUGUGUACAUAGGUAGGAAUAAACAAUAUAUUGAUUGAAAUUAA
This is a long non-coding RNA of Plutella xylostella (diamondback moth), 791 nucleotides long. RefSeq lists it as uncharacterized. NCBI's taxonomy places the organism in Eukaryota, Metazoa, Arthropoda, Insecta, Lepidoptera, Plutellidae. The record is from RefSeq and is a predicted model, not a curated record.